GGUUCAUCUCCUGGAGCCUUUGAUCCAGGAGAUCCUCUCGACUACGAGUCUCGAGGGUCUUCUGACAGAAUGGAGGUAAGGAUCCUUCGAAAAUGGAAUCAUGAUCAAACUGAGGGCUCUCCACCCUCGGCUUCCCCUUUCCGGGGAAGACAAGGCGACUGGUCCAAGUGGCCCACCCUAUUGCCAGAUUUUGGAACUCUGAUGAUGCUCUUUUCAGCCGCACUGACGCCUACGGCUGUUGCUGCUGCUGCUGCAUGGCCUGCACUACUUUGG
RNAcentral lists this long non-coding RNA (273 nucleotides) under Elaeis guineensis (African oil palm). RNAcentral describes it as "long non-coding RNA (EGUI_LNC062075)". The record is from RNAcentral. Lineage: Eukaryota; Viridiplantae; Streptophyta; Magnoliopsida; Arecales; Arecaceae.